This 262-nucleotide ribosomal RNA is filed under the name uncultured bacterium. RNAcentral describes it as "partial 16S ribosomal RNA". It matches the Rfam family "Bacterial small subunit ribosomal RNA", at positions 793 to 1055 of the family's 1533-position model. The record is from RNAcentral.
GUCCACGCCCUAAACGAUGUCUACUAGUUGUUGGGUCUUAAUUGACUUAGUAACGCAGCUAACGCGUGAAGUAGACCGCCUGGGGAGUACGGUCGCAAGAUUAAACUCAAAGGAAUUGACGGGGACCCGCACAAGCGGUGGAUGAUGUGGAUUAAUUCGAUGCAACGCGAAAACCUUACCUACCCUUGACAUGGAUGGAACCUCGGAGAGAUCUGAGGGUGCUCGAAAGAGAACCAUCACACAGGUGCUGCAUGGCUGUCGU